CCUACGGGAGGCAGCAGUGGGGAAUCUUGCGCAAUGGGCGAAAGCCUGACGCAGCAACGCCGCGUGCGGGAAGAAGGCUUUCGGGCUGUAAACCGCUUUCAGCAGGAACGAAAAUGACGGUACCUGCAGAAGAAGGAGCGGCCAACUAUGUGCCAGCAGCCGCGGUGAUACAUAGGCUUCAAGCGUUGUCCGGAUUUAUUGGGCGUAAAGAGUUCGUAGGCGGUCAAGUAAGUCGGGUGUGAAAAUUCUGGGCUCAACCCAGAGACGCCACCCGAUACUGCUUAACUUGAGUUCGAUAGGGGAGUGGGGAAUUCCUAGUGUAGCGGUGAAAUGCGCAGAUAUUAGGAGGAACACCGGUGGCGAAGGCGCCACUCUGGAUCGAUACUGACGCUGAGGAACGAAAGCAUGGGUAGCAAACAGGAUUAGAUACCCUGGUAGUCCAUGCCGUAAACGGUGGGCACUAGGUGUGGGUUUCUAUUAACGAAAUCCGCGCCGUCGCUAACGCAUUAAGUGCCCCGCCUGGGGAGUACGGUCGCAAGACUAAAACUCAAAUGAAUUGACGG
Molecule: ribosomal RNA, 563 nt
Filed under: uncultured bacterium
Lineage: Bacteria
Description: bacterial SSU rRNA
Rfam family: Bacterial small subunit ribosomal RNA
Source: RNAcentral